UUGAAUAGAAUUUUUUUUUUAACUAAAAACACUUUCGUAGAAUAAAUUAUGUUCUAUCAAUUUGAGAUAGUGGAAUAAGUUCCGAACCAUUACCAUAUAGACUAUAGUUACACUGUCAUUCUCACAUUUAAGCCUUCAUCAAUUUAAUUGUGGGUAUCAUUUCUUCACAACAGCUUCCAAAUAAUGAGAGAUUAAAAACAGGUGCUAACAUUGUGCUAAAACAACACUAGGUUUGCUCGACUAUACAAUCUCCUAUCACCUAAAAUAUACAACGAUGGUUCAUGCCCUGCUUAACUAUAGUCUACAACUACCUUCUCUUCUAAAGGGCACUUCAUCAUUACAAAUACUUGCAAAAGUAGGAAUUUGACACUGGAGAAACUCAGCUUCCUCUAAGGCCACAACAAAAGCUUACAGGUGAAGAGGGGGGCACGAAAUAAGCAAAGGAAGAAAAGCAAAAUUCAUUCAAUAAAAACUAUGGAAAGGAUAAAAAUCAUUUAAUUCUUUUAUAGCAUUUUAUUCUUCUAAGAGAAAGAAUAGAUUUUUCUAUUGCAUAGCUUACAAGCCCAAGCUUUCUCAUUGAGUGAUCAAACAUAUGGGAUGGGACUAUCCUAGAUGAACUUAUACCUUCCACCGAAAAGAAGAAGAGACUUGAGGGAUAAAUAAAUAUAAAUGGAUUAAAAUGGAUCGACUUCUACAAAGAGAUUAACUAAUGGAUCAAUUAAGCCAAUGAGUAGAAGUAGUUUAUCACAGUGAAAAGAGAUAAACAGGUGGGUGACAAGGAAGGUGGACCUUAUAAAAAGCUAAAAUGCAGGAUUGAAAAACAAGGACCAUAUCAGUUUUUCAAGACAGAAAAUCAAGGAUGAGAAGGAUUACGUCUUCUAGCAUUAAGAUCCAGCAUCACAAAAAUGGUGUCAGUAAGAAAGGGUGUGGAAUUCUUACACAUGAAAAAUUACACAAAACAGCCAACAAGUUUAACUCUCAAUAGUUGGAAGGGUCAUCAACAAUACGGUGAAGCAUGAUGGAUAGAACAUUCUGUAGUGAAAAAAUGCUGUCUUACAUAGUCAGACAGUAUUUCACUAAUGUUUCUCGCAUGAACAUUGUAUAGAGCUGUGUCUUUCUAGUUUGCUCCCGUGGUCUAAUUUAUUUAUUUUUCCUGAAUUCUAAUUAAUCAUUCGGAGCUAACAGCUUUCCUAGUCAUUUGGACAUCUUCUUAGAUGGGAAUCACUUGCUAUUUGUUAAUUCUACUGUUUUGCAUUUUUUGUAAAGAAGCACAACAGAAUAUUAGAUACAAACAAUUUCCUCUGUGAAUUUUGCAUACAUAAAGGAAUUCAAAUAAAACAGUACACUAACCUUUUAAUUGUUUUUCAAGAAUAAAAGUACAGCUGUUGUGAACUAGAUUAACGUUACAUCAUGAACAUUCUCUUCAGGUUAUAAAAAUCUUAAAACAGAAAGAUUUGCCAGAGCUAAAGCCCCUUUAAUUUCAUUUUUUCAUGUUUUACUGUCUACAAUUUCCCUUGCCUUCUGUGUGUUUCCUGU
Long non-coding RNA from Populus euphratica (Euphrates poplar), 1536 nucleotides. RefSeq lists it as uncharacterized. The record is from RefSeq and is a predicted model, not a curated record. The transcript is spliced from 2 exons. Lineage: Eukaryota; Viridiplantae; Streptophyta; Magnoliopsida; Malpighiales; Salicaceae.